This 468-nucleotide ribosomal RNA is filed under the name uncultured bacterium. RNAcentral describes it as "bacterial SSU rRNA". It matches the Rfam family "Bacterial small subunit ribosomal RNA", at positions 32 to 518 of the family's 1533-position model. The record is from RNAcentral.
AACGCUGGCGGCGUGCUUCAUACAUGCAAGUCGAACGAUAAGGGCCCCUUCGGGGGUACAUAAGUGGCGGACGGGUGAGUAAAAUGUAGAGAAUCUGCCCUUAAGCGGGGGACAACAGAGGGAAACUUCUGCUAAUACCCCAUAUGAGCGUAUCUGAAAUGGUAUUCUUGAAAACUCCGGUGCUUAAGGAUGAGUCUGCAUCUGAUUAGCUAGUUGGGGGUGUAAUGGACCACCAAGGCGACGAUCAGUAGCUGGUUUGAGAGGAUGAUCAGCCACAAUGGGACUGAGACACGGCCCAUACUCCUACGGGAGGCAGCAGUAGGGAAUUUUGCGCAAUGGGGGAAACCCUGAACCGCAGCAACGCCGCGUGACCGAUGAAGCCCUUCGGGGUGUAAAGGUCUGUCAGUGGGGACGAAACUUGACGGUACCCACAGAGGAAGCAUCGGCUAACUCCGUGCCAGCCGCCGC